UGACUCUAGAAUAAAUAGUAAUGAGUUUUUAAAUUUGAGAAGUCUCUUAUUUCUAACAGUUAAAAGAAUAGAGAUGUCCAAUACAAGUCUAAAUAAGGGUAUGACGACAAUUUGAACUAAUCCUAAGUGAAGAUAUUUAAAUUUUUCCGAUGAGAUCGAAUAGAUUCUUUUGAAAAAAAAUUUGUAUUAGCAUUUUGACUUUUGAUGGCUAGAGUUUGCUCAAGAGUUUAGAGUAAAAUCAAAAUUUCCUAUUUCAUAGAUAGAACAUAUGUCUACCUUUAGAGUAGUCUAGUUAUAAAGUCUUUGUUCAAUUUGGGCAAUUUGAAGUUCGUGAUUAUUGAAAUCAUUUGAUGUAGAUAAUGCUUGAUCUAAUUUUUCUUCAGCUUGAAAAGCAUUUGUGAUGUUUUCGAAUCUACUACUAGAUCUCUUGAAUUAGUUUGACAUUAAAGACAUAAAUAAAUAAAAUGAAAGUAUAAUAACUUACCACUGUAGAUAUAAUGCUACAGGAUAGAUUGACUCUCACCAAGCCUUCAACAGGACCAUCCUAAAACACCUACUCCAACUACACGGGCCAACCAAAGCUAUUCAGCGGACGUAUAGGCUAAAACUAGUAUCUCAUUUGGCACAAUAUCUAAAAUGAAAAUCACUAUAACGUCGCUUCACUCGGUUAUGGCUCUGAUAUUGAAGAGGACCAAGGAAACUGGAUGGUAGAUAUAGAUAUCAAAACUUAGAAAUGAAAAAAUGAUAGGCCCAGAGGGACUUGGUGAUAGAGAUAGAUAUCAAAACUUAAAAAUGAAGAAAUGAUAUUUUUAUUUGGAAUAAACAAAUUGAAGUACAAGAUAUUGAAUAGGAUAUUCAACUUUGAAAUUCAAAAAUUACAAGAUAG
Molecule: long non-coding RNA, 886 nt
Filed under: Olea europaea subsp. europaea
Lineage: Eukaryota; Viridiplantae; Streptophyta; Magnoliopsida; Lamiales; Oleaceae
Source: RNAcentral